GGGUUGUGAGGUUAAGCGACUAAGCGUACACGGUGGAUGCCCUGGCAGUCAGAGGCGAUGAAGGGCGUGCUAAUCUGCGAUAAGCGCCGGUAAGGUGAUAUGAACCGUUAUAACCGGCGAUACCCGAAUGGGGAAACCCAGUGUGACUCGUCACACUAUCAUUAACUGAAUCCAUAGGUUAAUGAGGCGAACCGGGGGAACUGAAACAUCUAAGUACCCCGAGGAAAAGAAAUCAACCGAGAUUCCCCCAGUAGCGGCGAGCGAACGGGGAGGAGCCCAGAGCCUGAAUCAGCAUGUGUGUUAGUGGAAGCGUCUGGAAAGGCGCGCGAUACAGGGUGACAGCCCCGUACACAAAAGCGCAUGUGCUGUGAGCUCGAUGAGUAGGGCGGGACACGUGGUAUCCUGUCUGAAUAUGGGGGGACCAUCCUCCAAGGCUAAAUACUCCUGACUGACCGAUAGUGAACCAGUACCGUGAGGGAAAGGCGAAAAGAACCCCGGCGAGGGGAGUGAAAAAGAACCUGAAACCGUGUACGUACAAGCAGUGGGAGCCCCACCACUAAGCCAGUGGUGAACUCCACAUACGCAUCCUUUGCUGAGGAUACGGUUAACGGAGCGCAAGCGACGUUCAACCGCAAAAGAAGCAGAGGGGGCUUAGUGGUGGGGUGACUGCGUACCUUUUGUAUAAUGGGUCAGCGACUUAUAUUCUGUAGCAAGGUUAACCGUAUAGGGGAGCCGGAGGGAAACCGAGUCUUAAUUGGGCGUUAAGUUGCAGGGUAUAGACCCGAAACCCGGUGAUCUAGCCAUGGGCAGGUUGAAGGUUGGGUAACACUAACUGGAGGACCGAACCGACUAAUGUUGAAAAAUUAGCGGAUGACCUGUGGCUGGGGGUGAAAGGCCAAUCAAACCGGGAGAUAGCUGGUUCUCCCCGAAAGCUAUUUAGGUAGCGCCUCGUGAAUUCAUCUCCGGGGGUAGAGCACUGUUUCGGCUAGGGGGCCAUCCCGGCUUACCAACCCGAUGCAAACUGCGAAUACCGGAGAAUGUUAUCACGGGAGACACACGGCGGGUGCUAACGUCCGUCGUGAAGAGGGAAACAACCCAGACCGCCAGCUAAGGUCCCAAAGUCAUGGUUAAGUGGGAAACGAUGUGGGAAGGCCCAGACAGCCAGGAUGUUGGCUUAGAAGCAGCCAUCAUUUAAAGAAAGCGUAAUAGCUCACUGGUCGAGUCGGCCUGCGCGGAAGAUGUAACGGGGCUAAACCAUGCACCGAAGCUGCGGCAGCGACACUGUGUGUUGUUGGGUAGGGGAGCGUUCUGUAAGCCUGUGAAGGUGGCCUGUGAGGGUUGCUGGAGGUAUCAGAAGUGCGAAUGCUGACAUAAGUAACGAUAAAGCGGGUGAAAAGCCCGCUCGCCGGAAGACCAAGGGUUCCUGUCCAACGUUAAUCGGGGCAGGGUGAGUCGACCCCUAAGGCGAGGCCGAAAGGCGUAGUCGAUGGGAAACGGGUUAAUAUUCCCGUACUUGGUGUUACUGCGAAGGGGGGACGGAGAAGGCUAUGUUGGCCGGGCGACGGUUGUCCCGGUUUAAGCGUGUAGGUGUGUGUUCCAGGUAAAUCCGGUUCACUUUAACACUGAGGCGUGAUGACGAGGCACUACGGUGCUGAAGCAACAAAUGCCCUGCUUCCAGGAAAAGCCUCUAAGCAUCAGGUAACAUCAAAUCGUACCCCAAACCGACACAGGUGGUC
This 1736-nucleotide ribosomal RNA is filed under the name Salmonella enterica. Its description in RNAcentral is "partial 23S ribosomal RNA". It matches the Rfam family "Bacterial large subunit ribosomal RNA", at positions 1 to 1668 of the family's 2925-position model. Lineage: Bacteria; Pseudomonadati; Pseudomonadota; Gammaproteobacteria; Enterobacterales; Enterobacteriaceae. The record is from RNAcentral.